CCAAGCGGUAUGAGGGAUGAAGUACUUUGCCGCAAAAAAUUUCUUUGUUACAGAUGAAUACAUACGUACUGAAAAUUGCUAACGGAUGAAUGGUCCUAGUAAAGUGAAUAGCGCCACAAGCUCUCCUUCACCGUGUUUACAUCACUGAGUUCAACAUGGUAAAAAAAUAUCUUGUGGCAAAUCAUAAUGUUGAACGGGACACCUUAUCCUUCUGUAACGUCGAUGAAGAAACUAUUACUUUGGACCAAACAAUUCAACGGAGGAGCUGCUUUUGCACACAGGCCACAAAUGUUAUAUGAUGAAUUAUAUAUGACAUAUAUCUUAUAUUAAGAGACAAAAUAUCUUUAAGCUUCACCUUGUCUUUUUUUCUUUGUGGCUUGUGAAAUUGUUAUGUAAAGUGUAGUCAGGAUAUUCUUAUUCAAGGUUCACUGUUAAUUUCACAUAUAAAAGCUGAAGAAGGAAACAGCGUCAUAGAAAUGUCGAAACAACACAACAGCACACUCAGCAUGCAUUGAAGACAUCUGUGGAUUUUCAGGGUGUUUGAUAGCUGAUCAUGCAGACGAAAGAUGGAG
Molecule: long non-coding RNA, 572 nt
Organism: Harpegnathos saltator (Jerdon's jumping ant)
Lineage: Eukaryota; Metazoa; Arthropoda; Insecta; Hymenoptera; Formicidae
Exons: 3
Source: RefSeq, a predicted model, not a curated record